Molecule: non-coding RNA, 449 nt
Organism: Sebastes umbrosus (honeycomb rockfish)
Lineage: Eukaryota; Metazoa; Chordata; Actinopteri; Perciformes; Sebastidae
Source: the annotation of a RefSeq genome assembly
UACUGCAUCACUGCUCCUCACAGUUUAAGUUCUCCUGUCACAGAGAGUCUGAACUGUUUUCAUGCACUCACACUGAAAACUGCAUCAGGAUGAUGUUGUCAAUAACUCUGAUUGUCGUGUUGGGUUUUCUGAGUCAGGAGACUUCUGCAAACAAGUUUCUGACUCAGGCUGACAAAUCCAAGUCUGUUAGUGUUGGAGGGACCGUGAGCAUCAGCGCCACAGGGAGUUCAGAUAUUGAUGAUGAUCUCAGUUGGUACCUUCAGAAACCUGGACAGGCUCCCAAACUCCUUAUAUACCAAGCAUCAACUCUCUUCUCAGGGACUGCGUCUCGAUUCAGUGGCAGUAGAUCUGGUUCUCACUACACUUUAACCAUCACAGGUGUUCAGACUGACGAUGCUGGAGAUUACUUCUGUCUGGGCUACCAUGGUAGCUAUGUGUUCACACAGUGA